This is a long non-coding RNA of Numida meleagris (helmeted guineafowl), 1632 nucleotides long. Lineage: Eukaryota; Metazoa; Chordata; Aves; Galliformes; Numididae. The record is from Ensembl.
AUUGGAGGGGAAAAAAAACGCAGCAUAAACCUCAACUUUAGCAAAGAACUUAAGGGGAGGACGCUGAGCAGGGUGCUAGGCCUCGAGCCCCCAGACUCACCUCAGGACGGGGGCAGCGGGCGGGAGCCGUGGGGAGGCGACGGCCCCACGAGGCACAGAGGGACGAGGGGCUAUUUUAGGCCCCCUCAAAGCUUCAGCCCAUCGCAACCCCCCCCCCCCCAUCAUCAAGGUCCCGGCCCGGGAGGGGCUUCUGGUCCCCUGUGGGACCCCCACCUCCUCCCUCAGCCCCGAGGGACCCCGCCCGGCCUUCCCCUCAGGGAACCCGAGGGGCUCCCCCCGGGCUGUACCACCCCCUCGGCCACACGAGCCGCCCCCGCCGCGUGGUACGGUCCAGCCUACCUCUCGGCGCCCUCACUUCACCCUCCCGGCGGAGCCGCGGUGCCGGCGCCCGCUGCGAGUGGCUGGGGGGGGCGCAGUUGGUUUGUUCCGAAAAGCCGGCCGGUCUUCUACCCUAAACCGCUGGAUCUCUCACGUCUUCGGCCAUUUCCGACCGAACUGGCGGAAGUUGCCGAAGUGGCGGCGGAACUUAACGGCCUGUUCCGAAGGGCGAGCGGAGAGAGCCGAACCGCUGACGGAGAUAGCCGAAGGGCUGAAGGGGCGGGGGCCGGGACGGCGAAGGAGGGGACUUCUCUCCGGAAACUACCGAGAAGAGCCGAAGUGCCGCAGGAGGCGGAGUACCGCCGCCCUCCCUUCCAGAGGGGCACGCCGGCCAUCGCGCAUGCGCACUGCGCGGAGGCGCUUUUCCCGCCUAAAGGGGGGCACGUGCUGCCUUGCCCGCUCUCCUCAACGAGAAGCUGCCAUUAUGGGUCCGUGUCCUCUCAGUGCCCCACAGAGCCCUUGUGUGAGCAAACACACCCCAGGCUUUAUCCACAGCACACGAAUUGGCUUCAGCCAUACCCCAGCACCUCUGCAAGGCUGAGGGUACACACACGGAGUUCAGCCUUGUGGUGAAACCACCAUGGGGACUGCAAAGGUGGGGACUGCAAAGGUUGGCACUGACCCCCUGGAGAGAUGUCCAGAUGGCUCCUGGCAAAAGGGGUUAUGCAAACCACUAUCACUGCACAAAAGUGAUGUAAAAAAAGCGUUCCCGGUUUUAACUUUUUUUUUUCUUAACAGCAUUUACAUUGCCAACAGCACUUAGUAAGAGCAGCAACAUCAAAUUUAUGCUGACAAGUACCAAACAUACCAGGGAAAAGAUGGUGAUUGAAGCACAAGAAUUAGGAAAGAAAAAAAAAAACACAACAAAGCAGUGGGGAAAUAAGGGGGAGAAAAAAGGCAAGGAAUGGCGGCAGCCAUCAUCCUACAAGAAAGCCAAGUCCAACAGCUUCAGUACUUUUUAUUACUUUAUGCACUUUCAUUUUACAUAUAUAUUAGAGCCCCAUAAAGGCCUUCAUAUCUGUGCGUAUCAAGUCUCACCCCGAAACACAAAACCUGGCAGCUUGUGGGUGACUGGGGAAUCUGAGAGAAGAAACAGAUUUAUCUCCAUAGCAGCGGGAAGGGUGGCAACUGUGGCAUAUCUCCAGGAAUCUCUGCUUUAAUAAAAUAUGAGCACUUUAAAACUGCGAGAAACCA